AACUUUCAACAACGGAUCUCUUGGUUCCCCCAUCGAUGAAGAACGCAGCGAAACGCGAUAGUUAAUGUGAAUUGCAGAAUUCAGUGAAUCAUCGAGUCUUUGAACGCACAUUGCGCCCAUUGGUAUUCCUUUGGGCAUGUCUGUUUGAGCGUCAUU
RNAcentral lists this ribosomal RNA (156 nucleotides) under Arthrobotrys conoides. RNAcentral's name for it is "5.8S ribosomal RNA". It matches the Rfam family "5.8S ribosomal RNA". Rfam says of the family: 5.8S ribosomal RNA (5.8S rRNA) is a component of the large subunit of the eukaryotic ribosome. It is transcribed by RNA polymerase I as part of the 45S precursor that also contains 18S and 28S rRNA. Functionally, it is thought that 5.8S rRNA may be involved in ribosome translocation. Lineage: Eukaryota; Fungi; Ascomycota; Orbiliomycetes; Orbiliales; Orbiliaceae. The record is from RNAcentral.